Felis catus (domestic cat) is the source of this 2323-nucleotide long non-coding RNA. RefSeq lists it as uncharacterized. The record is from RefSeq and is a predicted model, not a curated record. The transcript is spliced from 2 exons. Lineage: Eukaryota; Metazoa; Chordata; Mammalia; Carnivora; Felidae.
AAAAAUAAAAAUAAAAGUAGGUUCUGUUUGAAUUUUCAUCUAAAAAGCUUGCACUAUUUUAAAAAUAAUCAAGACCUAGUUUUUAAAAGUCACCUUGUUUAGCUCUAUUUGAGCUAACACUAAAUAUGAUACUUUCUUUCCAACAUCAAGUAUUAUCCUAACAAUUAUAGUCGUCUAUUGUUUUAGAAUUGAAGAAAGUAUUUCCUCGAUAAGAUAACAUCUUAUUAAUAUGGUAACCUCAUUACAUUGGGGUGCUAUCUCUGUUGUACAUAACUUGCCCUAGGUCAUCUAAUUACAACAUGUGGACAUGGGGUCCCUUGGCCACACAUUUGAUAAAAAGUAUUUAAAAUACUUGGAAGUCACACCCAAACUAGAAUCAAGUAAGACUCAGAACUGAGUUUUCUGAGGUACUACGAUGGCUGGGAAUGGGUAGGGGUGGAUAUAAGCAUAUAAAAUUUAGCGUUAAAGUCAAGCAUCUAGACAGGUUCUUUUUUCUGUAAGUCUUCGGGUUUGUUAGAGUUUCCCAUAUUUUAUAUUUCUUUUGAAUUACAAUCUCAUUUCAAAAAUAAAAUAAUUUGAAUAAACUUAUGUUUUUUCAAAGUGUCCAUUUCUAAAUCAAAACUAGACCCCAGCUUUGAAUAUGAACUCUAAGCAAUCUUGAAUCUACCUCUUGCCUUUGAAUUCACCAAGGAAACAAAGUCUAGAUUCAGUCUGAGACUAAUUUUAUGAUUCUGUGGGUUUUUCUUUCUUUUUUUUUUUUCUUUUUUUGUCAAAAUGUUGAGAUACAGAUCGCUAAGGAUCCAGAUACAGAUUUAGGGUAAAGAAAUGAAAGAUCCGAAAACUAGAAUUUGCUAGGCAGGCUAGUGGGAGGGUCCUUUUGUGAUGAAAUGUUGCAUAAAUAAUGCCGAUGGGGGUCUAAAUUCACUGUUGCCAUGGAGACCUUUGUGCCUGGCUGAACUCAAUUCUUUUCUCUUUUAAGACUGCUACCACUAGGCUUGUGGUGUCUCUGAUGCCUCUUUGCUUUGCUUUCUCUUAAACUGUUGGCGAGUGAAAGAAGAAAUUAAACUAUGAUAAUUUGGCAUCCUGACUUUUGCGAGACUGUUCUUCCACUCCAUUCGUGAUUUUUGAGCUCCUCUGGGGUUCCUUUUAGCCCUGGCUCGGGGAGGGAGGAGCAGGUGCAGAAACGGCUGAAACCCCCGAACGCUGCCUGGAAAGAGGGAAAAGUAACCCCUCAUCUUUGUGACUAGGCGACUUGUUGGCCUCGGCUACAGUUUUGAAGUAUUUAAGGACCAUUUGUUUCCAAAGUACCUUAUAUUCAGCAAAUCGAUGUUGAGUUCCUCCCUGGUACUAAACAUUGUAUGCCAUGAACAAAAAGGAAAGAGGAAGUUCCCAGAGUCCAUGAACUAAAAAAUCUGGUGCAGAUGAAGAUAUGAGAACUCGUAACUGUAAUGCAGUAAAAAUUACUGCUGUAAUGGAGCCUGGCCAAGGAGAGCCAGAAACACUGCUGAACUUGAUACAGUACAUUAAAAUAUGAUUAUUUGAUCUUCCCAAACCAAAACGAGGAAAGAAUCAGUGACGUGCACAAUAUAAUUGUUAAAGCAUGACUGUGAAGAUAGUUUUUAAAUAGUAGCCAGAGAAAUCCUCUGGAAACGUCAAUCCUAACAUUUAAAAAGUUUCGACUAUUUUUAGUCUAAAAUUUUACUAUAUGCAGAGUCAAAGUCAAAGACCAUGCAGUCGCCCAAGCCCCUCAAUCGUGUGUCUCCUACCACCCCUGGCUCUCCCACCUUUCCUAAAUUGUAACCUCUUGCCCACUUUGCUCCAGCAUAGAACCUCCUUGCCAUUUGUAGAACCAUCACAUGGCCUUGGCACUUGCCAUUCUUCUCUGCUGAAAACAGAAAACAGCAGCCCCCAACCAGAAUCCAGCCCAGAUAUACACGUGCCCCCUUCCCCUCGUGUCUCUCAGGUCUCUGAUCAGAGGUCACCUUAUCGAUGAGUCAGGUCUUGAUAACCAUUGCCUCCCUGUCUUCUUUUCCUGCAUUAUUUUUCUCCUCCACCUUUACCACAGAUGGUACUCGAAGUAACCCAUUGGUCCAUCUUGUUCCACGUCCAUUUGUUUCUACCAGAACGUGAACUCCAUAAGAACAGGGAUUUUUGUCUAACAUUUUUACUGAUGCAUUCCCAGCACCUAGACCCUCGCGUGCCUUAUUUAUUGAACAAAUGAUGAACUAAAUAUAAAUUUCCUGGCACCAAAUAUACAGUGUUCUACUUUGGUGUUGUUGUUGUUUUUCGAUUUUUUAAAAUAAAGUAGAAAUUUUCAAAUUUA